GACGAACGCUGGCGGCGUGCUUAACACAUGCAAGUCGAACGAUGAAAGAGAAUCCGAUCUCUUCGGAGUGAAGAAUCUCUGGAUUAGUGGCGGACGGGUGAGUAACGCGUGAGCAAUCUGCCUUACACAAAGGGAUAGCCUCGGGAAACCGGGAUUAAUACCAUAUGACAUCUAUUAACCGCAUGGUUUAUAGAUUAAAGAAUUUCGGUGUAAGAUGAGCUCGCGUCCCAUUAAUUAGUUGGUGAGGGUAACGGCCCACCAAGAUAGCGAUGGGUAGCCGAUCUAAGAGGAUGACCGGCCACAUUGGAACUGAGAAACGGUCCAAACUCCUACGGGAGGCAGCAGUGGGGAAUAUUGCACAAUGGGGGAAACCCUGAUGCAGCGACGCCGCGUGAGCGAUGAAGGCUUUCGAGUCGUAAAGCUCUGUCCUAUGGGAAGAUAAUGACGGUACCAUAGAAGAAAGCCCCGGCUAAUUACGUGCCAGCAGCCGCGGUAAUACGUAAGGGGCGAGCGUUGUCCGGAAUUAUUGGGCGUAAAGAGUGCGUAGGCGGCAAAUUAAGUCAGAUGUGAAAACUAAGGGCUCAACCCAUAGAUUGCAUCUGAAACUGAUAUGCUUGAGUCAAGGAGAGGAAAGUGGAAUUCCUAGUGUAGCGGUGGAAUGCGUAGAUAUUAGGAGGAAUACCGGUGGCGAGGGCGACUUUCUGGACUUGAACUGACGCUGAGGCACGAAAGCGUGGGGAGCAAACAGG
This 749-nucleotide ribosomal RNA is filed under the name uncultured Eubacteriales bacterium. RNAcentral describes it as "bacterial SSU rRNA". It matches the Rfam family "Bacterial small subunit ribosomal RNA", at positions 28 to 776 of the family's 1533-position model. The record is from RNAcentral. Lineage: Bacteria; Bacillati; Bacillota; Clostridia; Eubacteriales.